AUGUAUUCUUUCGAAAUUAGGGAAAUACCAGGAAAAGGUCGCGCGAUGAUCUCGACAAAACCAUUUGCUGUUGGAGAAACUAUAUUUGAGGAAGAGCCCUUUGUCUCGCGCCAAUUUUCUUGGAACGCCGCAUACGGGUAUGCAGCUUGUGAUCACUGUAUGCGUCCACUCGAAACAGUUACGGAAAAUGUGCGCCGCUUAGCGAAUAACAAAGCUUUAGUAGUCCCUCUGAUAGAACACGAUCCAACCAAACCUUGGUUACAGCAGUUUACAAAAUGUGAGCGUUGCAAAGUACGCUACUGUUCCGAGGAUUGUCGUAUAGAGGCAUUAAAUAAGUAUCAUCGUGUUGCUUGUUUGGGCGCCUUUCAUUCCGAUGAUACACAUCCAAUUAAUGUAUUAAAUGAAAUAUGGAAAAAAAUGCAUUACCCACCGGAGACUGGUACUAUUAUGUUAAUUGUACGUUUGAUGGCCAUGUAUAAGCAAAGUAAUAACAAACAGCAGUUCCUCGAGUCACUCCAAUCUUUUCAAUCAGUAAUAGUAAACGCGGAAAAACAAAUAUAUCACAAGAUGUUAGGAGCAAACUUUGAACAACAAAUGGAACAGCUAUUUUUGGCAUUCUGUAGAUCAUUUGCUGACGAGGAAUUUGCAGCUUUCACUACAGCAGAUGCCUUCAAGGCAUUAAUGGGUAUGAUUGGGACAAACAGUCAAGGCAUCGCAACAAGUACGCUGGCGGAAUGGGUUAAAAAAGUUAGUGAUUUGCCACUACCGGAAGAAGAUAAAGUAAAACUUGACGAAUAUAUUGACGAUAUAUACAACAAAGUUGGAGAAUUCGCUGGCGAGUUCCUUAACACUGAAGGUGCUGGCCUCUAUCUUCUGCAGAGUAAAAUAAAUCACAGUUGUAUGCCUAAUGCUCAAUCUACCUUUCCUUACUCGAAUGACAUUGUGGUACUGAAGGCAGUCGCCCCUAUACAGACGGGUGAAGAGAUUUGCAUUUCUUAUUUAGAUGAAUGUCAAUUGGAGCGCAGCAGGCAUUCUAGACAAAAGAUCCUUAAAGAAAACUACAUAUUCGUAUGUCAAUGCCCUAAAUGUCAAUUGCAAGCUACUGAUCCCGAUGAGACUAGCGAAGAUGAGGAAGAUGACUAUGAAAUGGAUAUGGAUGACGACGCAGAAAUGUCGGAUUAAUAAACUGUUCUGCAUUUUAAAGUCUAUUUUUUAUUAUCGCGCAUGUACAUAUAUAUUCACUGCCUGCACUUUUUGAUGCAACUCGCUCGCCUCAGCCCUUAAGAUCAAC
Rhagoletis zephyria (snowberry fruit fly) is the source of this 1291-nucleotide RNA transcript. It is a transcript of the gene named SET and MYND domain containing, class 5, with no coding region annotated. The record is from RefSeq and is a predicted model, not a curated record. Lineage: Eukaryota; Metazoa; Arthropoda; Insecta; Diptera; Tephritidae.